UACGGGGGGGGCAAGCGUUGUUCGGAAUUACUGGGCGUAAAGGGCGCGUAGGCGGGCAGGUAAGUCAGUGGUGAAAUCUCCGGGCUUAACUCGGAAACUGCCAUUGAUACUAUCUGUCUUGAAUACCGUGGAGGUCAGCGGAAUAUGUCAUGUAGCGGUGAAAUGCUUAGAUAUGACAUAGAACACCAAUUGCGAAGGCAGCUGGCUACACGAAUAUUGACACUGAUGCACGAAAGCGUGGGGAUCAAACAGG
This 253-nucleotide ribosomal RNA is filed under the name uncultured bacterium. RNAcentral describes it as "partial 16S ribosomal RNA". It matches the Rfam family "Bacterial small subunit ribosomal RNA", at positions 524 to 776 of the family's 1533-position model. The record is from RNAcentral.